AUUAGAGUUUGAUCAUGGCUCAGAUUGCAACGCUGGCGGCAGGCCUAACACAUGCAAGUCGAGCGGUAGAGAGAAGCUUGCUUCUCUUGAGAGCGGCGGACGGGUGAGUAAUGCCUAGGAAUCUGCCUGGUAGUGGGGGAUAACGUUCGGAAACGGACGCUAAUACCGCAUACGUCCUACGGGAGAAAGCAGGGGACCUUCGGGCCUUGCGCUAUCAGAUGAGCCUAGGUCGGAUUAGCUAGUUGGUGGGGUAAUGGCUCACCAAGGCGACGAUCCGUAACUGGUCUGAGAGGAUGAUCAGUCACACUGGAACUGAGACACGGUCCAGACUCCUACGGGAGGCAGCAGUGGGGAAUAUUGGACAAUGGGCGAAAGCCUGAUCCAGCCAUGCCGCGUGUGUGAAGAAGGUCUUCGGAUUGUAAAGCACUUUAAGUUGGGAGGAAGGGCAGUAAAUUAAUACUUUGCUGUUUUGACGUUACCGACAGAAUAAGCACCGGCUAACUCUGUGCCAGCAGCCGCGGUAAUACAGAGGGUGCAAGCGUUAAUCGGAAUUACUGGCGUAAAGC
Molecule: ribosomal RNA, 566 nt
Filed under: uncultured bacterium
Lineage: Bacteria
Description: bacterial SSU rRNA
Rfam family: Bacterial small subunit ribosomal RNA
Source: RNAcentral